GAUGAACGCUGACAGAAUGCUUAACACAUGCAAGUCAACUUGAACUUCGGUUUGGGUGGCGGACGGGUGAGUAACGCGUAAAGAACUUGCCUCACAGAUAGGGACAACAUUUGGAAACGAAUGCUAAUACCUGAUAUUAUGAUUAUAUGGCAUCGUAUAAUUAUGAAAGCUAUAUGCGCUGUGAGAGAGCUUUGCGUCCCAUUAGCUAGUUGGAGAGGUAACGGCUCACCAAGGCGAUGAUGGGUAGCCGGCCUGAGAGGGUGAUCGGCCACAAGGGGACUGAGACACGGCCCGUACUCCUACGGGAGGCAGCAGUGGGGAAUAUUGGAAAAUGGACCAAGAGUCUGAUCCAGCAAUUCUGUGUGCACGAUGAAGUUUUUCGGAAUGUAAAGUGCUUUCAAUUGGGAAGAAAAAAAUGACGGUACCAACAGAAGAAGUGACGGCUAAAUACGUG
This 454-nucleotide ribosomal RNA is filed under the name uncultured bacterium. Its description in RNAcentral is "partial 16S ribosomal RNA". It matches the Rfam family "Bacterial small subunit ribosomal RNA", at positions 28 to 507 of the family's 1533-position model. The record is from RNAcentral.